RNAcentral lists this ribosomal RNA (342 nucleotides) under uncultured Veillonellaceae bacterium. Its description in RNAcentral is "partial 16S ribosomal RNA". The record is from RNAcentral. Lineage: Bacteria; Bacillati; Bacillota; Negativicutes; Veillonellales; Veillonellaceae.
GGAGUCUGGGCUGUGUCUCAGUCCCAAUGUGGCCGUUCACCCUCUCAGGCCGGCUACCGAUCGUCGCCUUGGUGGGCCUCUACCCCCCCAACUAGCUAAUCGGACGCGGGCCCAUCGGAAAGCGGAUAAAAUCCUUUAAUACAAGAAGCAUGCGCCUCUCAUACAACAUUCGGUAUUAGCACCCCUUUCGGGAUGUUGUCCCCAUCUUUCCGGCAGGUUGCCCACGCGUUACUCACCCGUUUGCCACUAGGCUCAUAAAAGCAAGCUUUCAAUCGCCCCGUUCGACUUGCAUGUGUUAAGCACGCCGCCAGCGUUCGUCCUCGAGCCACGGAUCAAACUACU